Molecule: ribosomal RNA, 305 nt
Filed under: uncultured bacterium
Lineage: Bacteria
Description: partial 16S ribosomal RNA
Rfam family: Bacterial small subunit ribosomal RNA
Source: RNAcentral
ACAGCAGUCGCCGCGGUAAUACGAAGGGGGCUAGCGUUGUUCGGAAUUACUGGGCGUAAAGCGCACGUAGGCGGAUAUUUAAGUCAGGGGUGAAAUCCCAGAGCUCAACUCUGGAACUGCCCUUGAUACUGGGUAUCUUGAGUAUGGAAGAGGUGAGUGGAAUUCCGAGUGUAGAGGUGAAAUUCGUAGAUAUUCGGAGGAACACCAGUGGCGAAGGCGGCUCACUGGUCCAUUACUGACGCUGAGGUGCGAAAGCGUGGGGAGCAAACAGGAUUAGAUACCCCUGUAGUCCCUGUCUCUUAUAC